Molecule: ribosomal RNA, 305 nt
Filed under: uncultured bacterium
Lineage: Bacteria
Description: bacterial SSU rRNA
Rfam family: Bacterial small subunit ribosomal RNA
Source: RNAcentral
CCUACGGGAGGCAGCAGUGAGGAAUAUUGGUCAAUGGGCGGGAGCCUGAACCAGCCAAGUCGCGUGAAGGAAGAAGGUACUUAGUAUUGUAAACUUCUUUUGUCGGGGAACAAAGGCGGAGACGCGUCUCCGGAUGAGUGUACCCGAAGAAAAAGCAUCGGCUAACUCCGUGCCAGCAGCCGCGGUAAUACGGAGGAUGCGAGCGUUAUCCGGAUUUAUUGGGUUUAAAGGGUGCGCAGGCGGAGGCACAAGUCAGCGGUAAAAUCGCGGGGCUCAACCCCGCUCCGCCGUUGAAACUGUGUCCC